AACGAACGCUGGCGGCAUGCCUAACACAUGCAAGUCGAACGAGACCUUCGGGUCUAGUGGCGCACGGGUGCGUAACGCGUGGGAACCUGCCCUUAGGUUCGGAAUAACUCCCCGAAAGGGGUGCUAAUACCGGAUAAUGUCUUCGGACCAAAGAUUUAUCGCCUUUGGAUGGGCCCGCGUUGGAUUAGCUAGUUGGUAGGGUAAAAGCCUACCAAGGCGACGAUCCAUAGCUGGUCUGAGAGGAUGAUCAGCCACACUGGGACUGAGACACGGCCCAGACUCCGAGGGUAGGCAGCAGUAGGGACUCUUACGGGAGGGGGGAAAGCGGAAUGUAGCAAAGCGGCGUGAGUGAUGAACGUCUUCGGAUCGGAGAACGCUGAAGUCAGGGGGGAAGAAAUGUGUUAGUAACCAGGCAGGUAUUGACGGUACCGAAUCAGAAAGCCACGGCUAACUACGUG
RNAcentral lists this ribosomal RNA (458 nucleotides) under uncultured bacterium. RNAcentral's name for it is "partial 16S ribosomal RNA". It matches the Rfam family "Bacterial small subunit ribosomal RNA", at positions 29 to 507 of the family's 1533-position model. The record is from RNAcentral.